Molecule: signal recognition particle RNA, 96 nt
Filed under: Planctomycetota bacterium
Lineage: Bacteria; Pseudomonadati; Planctomycetota
Also listed under: 1 other name
Description: Planctomycetes bacterium signal recognition particle sRNA small type
Rfam family: Bacterial small signal recognition particle RNA
About the family: The signal recognition particle (SRP) is a universally conserved ribonucleoprotein involved in the co-translational targeting of proteins to membranes. Archaeal SRP consists of a 7S RNA and homologues of the eukaryotic SRP19 and SRP54 proteins. In most bacteria, the SRP consists of a 4.5S RNA and the Ffh protein (a homologue of the eukaryotic SRP54 protein).
Source: RNAcentral
AGCUGCCCCUUCUGCGGCGGGGUCGUGUGAACCGGGUCAGGCCUUAAUCGGAGCAGCCCUAAGCAUCAGAUUUCGGGUGUGGAAGGGGUGGCAUUC